GACGAACGCUGGCGGCGUGCUUAACACAUGCAAGUCGAACGAUGAAGCCUUAGCUUGCUUUGGUGGAUUAGUGGCGAACGGGUGAGUAACACGUGAGCAACGUGCCCAGGACUCUGGAAUAACCGCGGGAAACCGUGGCUAAUACCGGAUAGGUGCCGAGGCCGCAUGGUCUUCGGUUGGAAAGUUUUUGCGGUUCUGGAUCGGCUCACGGCCUAUCAGCUUGUUGGUGGGGUAAUGGCCUACCAAGGCGACGACGGGUAGCCGGCCUGAGAGGGUGACCGGCCACACUGGGACUGAGACACGGCCCAGACUCCUACGGGAGGCAGCAGUGGGGAAUAUUGCACAAUGGGCGCAAGCCUGAUGCAGCAACGCCGCGUGGGGGAUGACGGCCUUCGGGUUGUAAACCUCUUUUAGUAGGGAAGAAGCGCAGGUGACGGUACCUGCAGAAAAAGCACCGGCUAACUACGUG
Molecule: ribosomal RNA, 469 nt
Filed under: uncultured bacterium
Lineage: Bacteria
Description: partial 16S ribosomal RNA
Rfam family: Bacterial small subunit ribosomal RNA
Source: RNAcentral